AUGUACACACACACACACACACACACACACACACACACGCCCAUUGGCAGACACGGCCACACCUCACAGCCCUGGGGGAAGCCACAGAGCUCAGCCGUACAAGCUGAGCCUAGACUAGAGGAACUUUCCGCAGUACUGAGGACAAACAGCCCCGCGGCCACGACGGUCUGCCAGCCUGAGGCUCAGGCGGGCGCCGGCGGCAGCAGGUACGCGGUGCGCACCCGCGUCGGGGCCUGGGCGGUGCGGUGGCGGCGGGAGGGUCCCGCGAGCUGCAGAAGUCGGUGCCAGUGUGCGCGCGCCGACCGGCCUGAGCGAGCCGCAUCCCCGGGCCGCCCCUGGCAGCCUCCUCGCCCCCGGUGAGCCGCCGCCGCCCCUCCCUGCCGGCCUCGGGCGCCCUCGGGCAGUCCCCGCCGCCCGCCCCAGCCCGGAACAUGGCUGCGCGCCCCGCCGCCACCCUCGCCUGGUCGCUGCUGCUGCUCUCCUCGGCCCUGCUCCGCGGCGGCUGCCGGGCGCGCUUUGCCGCCGAGCCGGACUCGGAGGACGACGAAGAGGAGGCGGUGGUUUUCCCCGAGUCGCCGCUGCAGAGACCCACGGUGCUGGUGGCCGUCCUCGCCCGCAACGCUGCGCACACGCUGCCACACUUCCUCGGCUGCCUGGAGCGGCUGGACUACCCCAAGAGCAGGAUGGCCAUCUGGGUAGCCACUGAUCACAAUGUGGAUAAUACAACAGAAAUACUCAGGGAGUGGUUGAAAAAUGUACAGAGACUCUACCACUAUGUGGAGUGGAGGCCCAUGGAUAAGCCAGAGUGA
Molecule: RNA transcript, 809 nt
Organism: Propithecus coquereli (Coquerel's sifaka)
Lineage: Eukaryota; Metazoa; Chordata; Mammalia; Primates; Indriidae
Exons: 2
Source: RefSeq, a predicted model, not a curated record